AACGAACGCUGGCGGCAGGCCUCAUACAUGCAAGUCGAGCGAUUAAGACUCCUUCGGGAGUGUAUAAAGCGGCGAACGGGUGAGUAACAGGUGGAUGAUCUACCUUCCGGUGGGGGAUAACGGCUGGAAACGGCCGCUAAUACCGCAUUCGGUUAAUACGCUGUGGCGUAUUAAAGAAAGGCGCCUCAAAGCGCCGCCGGGAGAUGAGUCCGCCCCCCAUUAGCUAGUUGGUGAGAUAACAGCUCACCAAGGCAACGAUGGGUAGCCGAACUGAGAGGUUGAUCGGCCACACUGGAACUGAGACACGGUCCAGACACCUACGGGUGGCAGCAGUAGGGAAUAUUGGACAAUGGGGGCAACCCUGAUCCAGCCAUCCCGCGUGAAGGAAGACAGCCUUACGGGUUGUAAACUUCUUUUCUGUCAGAAGAAUAAGCUUGUCGAGACGAGUGAUGCCGGUAUGACAGGAAUAAGCAUCGGCUAACUCCGUG
RNAcentral lists this ribosomal RNA (488 nucleotides) under uncultured bacterium. RNAcentral describes it as "partial 16S ribosomal RNA". It matches the Rfam family "Bacterial small subunit ribosomal RNA", at positions 29 to 507 of the family's 1533-position model. The record is from RNAcentral.